This is a non-coding RNA of Schistosoma mansoni, 47 nucleotides long. The record is from Rfam. Lineage: Eukaryota; Metazoa; Platyhelminthes; Trematoda; Strigeidida; Schistosomatidae.
GCACUGCUGAGGAAUCCCACAAUAGGACGAAACGGCCGUCCCAGUGC